RNAcentral lists this ribosomal RNA (253 nucleotides) under uncultured bacterium. RNAcentral's name for it is "partial 16S ribosomal RNA". It matches the Rfam family "Bacterial small subunit ribosomal RNA", at positions 524 to 776 of the family's 1533-position model. The record is from RNAcentral.
UACAGAGGGUGCGAGCGUUAAUCGGAAUUACUGGGCGUAAAGGGCGCGUAGGCGGAUUGUUAAGUUAGAUGUGAAAUCCCUGGGCUUAACCUAGGAACGGCAUUUAAAACUGAUGAUCUGGAGUGCGGUAGAGGGUAGUGGAAUUUCCGGUGUAGCGGUGAAAUGCGUAGAUAUCUGGAGGAAUACCGGUGGCGAAGGCGGCAUCCUGGACCGAGAUUGACGCUGAGGAGCGAAAGCUAGGGGAGCAAACGGG